RNAcentral lists this long non-coding RNA (903 nucleotides) under Malus domestica (apple). Its description in RNAcentral is "long non-coding RNA (MDOM_LNC019029)". The record is from RNAcentral. Lineage: Eukaryota; Viridiplantae; Streptophyta; Magnoliopsida; Rosales; Rosaceae.
UUGCAAUAGACCUCAAACCUGAGGGGCUACGAUGUAAUUUACCUAUUAUUUUAUUAGGCAGUUCUGUUAGAUUAUACAUCACACUUUCAUUUCAUAUACUAAUUCAGAUAAGCAGCUGAUAAUUACUUACAUAAAGCUCGUAGCUCAAAUAGCUAAGAUCGUUCAUCUUUUGCACCAAACAUCCUAACUCUAGGUCUGACUGAUUACUGAAACAAAUAGAAGAGUGCAUCUCUGAGAUGCUCAAGUUACAAAGUAGUUCCUGUGAGAGGCCCUAUUUACCUAUUUAUCAUGCAGCAUACGAGAUAUCAUAAAUUAGAAAAGUUGCAGCAAUUGGUAACGUGCAGCUUCUAACGAUCAUUGUCAUCCUAAUCGGUGCUCAACCCUAAUAGACACGUAGAUUUACCCAAACCCUUCCCCAUUCAUGGUGGGCUUUUACAAAACCUCCCUUUUAAGAAUUUGCCCUGCAAAACUUAUGUGUCAAAUUAUACAACUUUUAGAUAAAGAGUUGCAAUUUUGAGACGUAAAAUUGUAUUUACAUCCCAUACAUUUCUAGGAGAUGUAAAUCUAAUAGCUACUCUGAUGGGAGAUAUUUUAAUUUGGAAUCUAAUUUACUUUUCUCUUUGAUUGACAGGGCCCUUCAUCAAAAUAUGUACAUUUAUAUUUUCGACAAAGAUGAAAAUUUUAUAUUCCAUAUAAUGUAGAAUUUUUUUGGCCAACAAAAAAAUGUAAAUGUUCGUUCCAAUGCAUUUUGCUUGGACAUUUCGCAUCUCUUGUUGGAUAGAAGUGAUUCCCGUUACUUUAUAAAAAAUUAAUGCAUUCCAAUGCAUUUUGCAUUUCCGAUCUCCUAUUGGAUAGGAAUAAAUCCCUAUUAUUUCAUUAAUUCACCUAUAUUAAGGAGUGUGU